UACAGAGGGUGCAAGCGUUGUUCGGAAUUACUGGGCGUAAAGGGCGCGUAGGCGGCUUAGCAAGUCAGAUGUGAAAUCCCGGGGCUUAACUCCGGAAGUGCAUUUGAAACUGCUAAGCUUGAGUACUGUAGAGGAUGGCGGAAUACCCAGUGGAGAGGUGAAAUUCGUAGAUAUUGGGUGGAACACCGGUGGCGAAGGCGGCCAUCUGGGCAGUAACUGACGCUGAGGCGCGAAAGCGUGGGGAGCAAACAGG
This 253-nucleotide ribosomal RNA is filed under the name uncultured bacterium. Its description in RNAcentral is "partial 16S ribosomal RNA". It matches the Rfam family "Bacterial small subunit ribosomal RNA", at positions 524 to 776 of the family's 1533-position model. The record is from RNAcentral.